UAGGGAAUCUUCCGCAAUGGACGCAAGUCUGAUGCAGCAACGCCGCGUGAGUGAAGAAGGAUUUCGGUUCGUAAAACUCUGUUGUCAGAGAAGAACAGCGCAUAGAGUAACUGUCAUGCGUGUGACGGUAUCUAACCAGACAGCCACGGCCAAUUACGUGUCAGCAGCCGCGGUAAUACGUAGGUGGCAAGCGUUGUCCGGACUUAUUGGGCGUAAAGCGAGCGCAGGCGGUCAAUUGAGUCUGAUGUGAAAGCCCCCGGCUAAACCGGGGAGGGUCAUUGGAAACUGGUUGACUUGAGUGCAGAAGAGGAGAGUGGAAUUCCAUGUGUAGCGGUGAAAUGCGUAGAUAUAUGGAGGAACACCAGUGGCGAAGGCGGCUCUCUGGUCUGUAACUGACGCUGAGGCUCGAAAGCGUGGGUAGCAAACAGG
This 429-nucleotide ribosomal RNA is filed under the name Bacteroidota bacterium. RNAcentral's name for it is "Bacteroidetes bacterium partial 16S ribosomal RNA". It matches the Rfam family "Bacterial small subunit ribosomal RNA", at positions 355 to 776 of the family's 1533-position model. Lineage: Bacteria; Pseudomonadati; Bacteroidota. The record is from RNAcentral.